GAUCAUAGGAUGCUGCAGACCAUCUUUAAAGAGUGCUUAGGUCCUGCAGCUGGGUCCCUCAAGGAUCCUAUAAAAGCCAUUUUAGAACUUAUUCAAACUUCCGAUGCUGAGGGGAUGAAAAUAGCCCUUCUGCCCAUUCUCAAAGAAUUUCCUGAACUAAGGCAGGAACAUCUGAGUUCUGUGCUGGACAUCAAAGACUCGCUCAGCCGAGAAGAUAGAGCUGCUCUCUUGAAGGCAUUUCACGAUAAUUGCAGGGAAUCAGAAACAGAAGCAAACUUGCUUUUUGCAGAUAUAGAAGUAAAACCUAGAAAAUGUGGACUCUGUGGCUGCCUCUGCUGUUAGCAAAGGCCUGCUGUGAGAAACAUGAGGUCUCGCUCCCACGUGGCAGCAUCUGCAAUCACAGCUCCUUGAAAGCUUCAGGGAUCCGUGCAGCCGGAUGCAUGGAGAAGCCUGACAGCUAUGGAAGACACAAUUCCUGCACUUUUGCAGGAUAAACACGUGGCCCAAAUCCUAAUCUUCUAUGCAAAGUCCAGUCGGAAGAUGAAUGAGAUAUGGCAGAAAGACAUUCCUUCAGAAUUUCCUAGA
Molecule: long non-coding RNA, 585 nt
Organism: Gymnogyps californianus (California condor)
Lineage: Eukaryota; Metazoa; Chordata; Aves; Accipitriformes; Cathartidae
Exons: 4
Source: RefSeq, a predicted model, not a curated record